RNAcentral lists this long non-coding RNA (452 nucleotides) under Nicotiana benthamiana. RNAcentral's name for it is "long non-coding RNA (NBEN_LNC005066)". Lineage: Eukaryota; Viridiplantae; Streptophyta; Magnoliopsida; Solanales; Solanaceae. The record is from RNAcentral.
UUGAGUUCUGUCUCAGAAAAUCCCAUAAAUUCUAGGGAUAUUAAUAAAGAGAUCAAGACAUAAAAUAAUGUCAUGAUUAUUAGAUAUUCUUCUUGAUAUAUAAUCAAAUACUUCAAGAAGAACAUCCACACAACAAUCGACUCAUGGAGAUCAAAUCAUUCAGAGAGAUGUGCAUCAUCCUACGUUCCAGAAUAUACUGAUCCAACCCUCGAAUCACCAAAAACAAUCCGGAAAAAAAAUCAAAGAAUAAACAGAAUUGUAACCUACAAUAUUAUCAAUAAAAUUAUUUUUUCGUUAUAAUUAUUUGUCCCCCCCUCCAAAAUAUUGUCUAGGCAUUAAAUUCAGUAGACAAGGUCCUUUCGUGUUCUUUUUCCCAUCCUUGUUUUUGGUCCUCUAUUUUCACGCACUUGUUACUUUUUGUUGUUUGAAAAACAAUGCAGAAGGAAGUAGAG